GUGCUCACUGCGACAGCACAUAUACUAAACCUGGAUCCAUCCAGAGAAGAUCAGCAUGGCUUCUGCACAAGGAUGGCACACAACUUUGUGAAGCAUUUCGUAUUUUU
Sorex fumeus (smoky shrew) is the source of this 107-nucleotide small nuclear RNA. Lineage: Eukaryota; Metazoa; Chordata; Mammalia; Eulipotyphla; Soricidae. The record is from RefSeq and is a predicted model, not a curated record.